GUCAGGAUGGCCGAGCGGUCUAAGGCGCUGCGUUCAGGUCGCAGUCCGAUCUUCCGGGCGUGGGUUCGAAUCCCACUUCUGACA
This 84-nucleotide transfer RNA is filed under the name Ixodes scapularis (black-legged tick). Its description in RNAcentral is "tRNA-Leu". It matches the Rfam family "tRNA". Rfam says of the family: Transfer RNA (tRNA) molecules are approximately 80 nucleotides in length. Lineage: Eukaryota; Metazoa; Arthropoda; Arachnida; Ixodida; Ixodidae. The record is from RNAcentral.